This 69-nucleotide transfer RNA is filed under the name Marmota monax (woodchuck). RNAcentral describes it as "tRNA.Thr". The stretch from base 4 to 64 matches the Rfam family "tRNA", at positions 6 to 65 of the family's 71-position model. From Rfam's summary of the family: Transfer RNA (tRNA) molecules are approximately 80 nucleotides in length. Their secondary structure includes four short double-helical elements and three loops (D, anti-codon, and T loops). Lineage: Eukaryota; Metazoa; Chordata; Mammalia; Rodentia; Sciuridae. The record is from RNAcentral.
GUUUGUGGCUCAAUGGUAGAGCACUCGCCUAGUACAUGUGAGGCACUGGGUUCAAGCCUCAGCACUACA